ACCACAGGAAUAAAAUAUAUUCUUCAAUGAUAUUCUCCUCUUCAGACUCUGGGUGAAGCUCUGGUAGGAAAGGAAAGCUGAAUUAAGCGAUGUGAAAUACGUUUUAUUUAUUUAUUUGAGAGAGAGAGAAUGAGAGACAGAGAGCAUGAGAGGGAGGAGGGUCAGAGGGAGAAGCAGACUCCCCACCAAGCAGGGAGCCCGCCCGAUGCGGGACUCGAUCCCGGGACUCCAGGAUCAUGACCCGAGCCAAAGGCAGUCGCUUAACCAACUGAGCCACCCAGGCGCCCCAUCUCAGAACCCACCACAAUGCAUGGACCAUCAAGUCAGGGUGAGAGACUAAGGGUUUUAAGAACAUAGCUCAACCCUGGAGCCCACACGGCUGCCGCCAGCAAAAGCAAACUGUGUCCCUGGAGCUGAGUGGCCAGGAGGCCCACCUGCACCAGCUGAGCACAUCACUGCCGCCCCACAGGAGCUGGGUGCUGACCUGCCACGUGUGACCCGAGAGCUGCUGUCAGUCCCAGGUCCGGAGCCCGGAGCGCCUUCAAAGAUGUUUACAUGGAUCAGGAAAGUUUUCAUUCGGAAAGGCCAUUGAACACUGCUGUAUGAUUAAUAUGCCAGAAAGCAAAGAGGCCUCAGAAACAUAGCAUGCUGAUCAAGGAACCCAUUACUCAGAAAUCAGAGCCCCUGGAUUGCCAAAAGGAUAAUUAUACUUAAAAGCAAGAGAAGCUCAAACUACACCAGCUGUGGGGAUGAUUCUUACGUGUGUGUGUGUGUGUGUGUGUUUGUGUGUUUAAAUCAGAGCUAUUCAUUUGAAGGAUGCAUGAUUCCAAGCAGAAGGACACCAUGAACACAGCCCAAAUCAUGGAACAGCGAAUGGAAUGGAAAAAGAGAAAACAGGCAUUUUCAUAGUUCAUCAUUCAAUGGCCUCGAAACAUGUAUUUUCUGAAAUGCAAAGAACAGAUCAGCAGAGAACCUUUCAAACUUGCUGCCAAGAUUUUACCUCCGACCACUACCGUAAGGCUCACCAAAAAUCUCCCAUGCAAACAGCCCACAUGCAGCCAGCCAUGCUUUAAGAACUCCCAGAAGCAGCCGCUGGGACGUGGCCGUGAACAACGUGGCCGGAAGCGCACGGACAGAAGU
This is a long non-coding RNA of Mirounga angustirostris (Northern elephant seal), 1140 nucleotides long. RefSeq lists it as uncharacterized. The record is from RefSeq and is a predicted model, not a curated record. The transcript is spliced from 4 exons. Lineage: Eukaryota; Metazoa; Chordata; Mammalia; Carnivora; Phocidae.